RNAcentral lists this ribosomal RNA (447 nucleotides) under uncultured bacterium. RNAcentral describes it as "bacterial SSU rRNA". It matches the Rfam family "Bacterial small subunit ribosomal RNA", at positions 355 to 825 of the family's 1533-position model. The record is from RNAcentral.
UCGGGAAUUUUGGGCAAUGGGGGAAACCCUGACCCAGCAACGCCGCGUGAAGGAUGAAGUAUUUCGGUAUGUAAACUUCGUAAGAAUAGGAAGAAUAAAUGACGGUACUAUUUGUAAGGUCCGGCUAACUACGUGCCAGCAGCCGCGGUAAUACGUAGGGACCAAGCGUUGUUCGGAUUUACUGGGCGUAAAGGGCGCGUAGGCGGUGUGUCAAGUCAGUUGUGAAAUCUCCGAGCUUAACUCGGAACGGUCAACUGAUACUGUCACACUAGAGUACAGAAGGGGCAAUCGGAAUUCUUGGUGUAGCGGUGAAAUGCGUAGAUAUCAAGAGGAACACCUGAGGCGAAGGCGGGUUGCUGGGCUGAUACUGACGCUGAGGCGCGAAAGCCAGGGUAGCAAAAGGGAUUAGAUACCCCAGUAGUCCCUGAGCGGGCUGGCAAGGCGCAU